AUCAAAGUCCCCGGCCGGGGGGUGGCCGAAUCCCAGAUAACCUCUCCGGCCGACCAAUCAAAACCCCUUGCGGAAGAACGCGCCUCGCUAGCUUAUGUUAGACAACCAACCAGAAGCAUUAGAACUCAGACCUCGACUCCCCUCGGCUGACCAAUCAGAGCAAUUUCUCGCGAGCGCCGGCAGCAGCGACAGCCAAUGAAGCUAGAAGCCAGCCUAACACCCUCCAGGGUUUCUCUGUAGCUUUGGAGCCUGUCUUGGCACUCACUCCGGAGACCAGGCUGGCCUCGAACUCACAAAGAUCCUGCCUGCCUCUGCGAGUGCUGGGAUUAAAGGCGUGCGCCACCAACGCCACUGGCUUCAGGUAUCCUCUUAACAGUGUUUCUACACUUGAUCUUAACCAAGAGGUGAAGAAACGAUUUAACAGUAUUUCGAUUUUAGGAACUGACCUGGGAUUUUUACCAUUUCUUUCUUUUUCUUUUUCUUUUUCUUUUUUUUUUUUUGUUACUUUAAAUACAGACUUCCCAACCUGGUUGCCUUUUUACUACCUUUGUUUAAAUUUUUUUUUUUUUUCUGCCAACCAAAUGUGCCUGUAAGUGCCUUUCUACUUGUGCACCUUUCUAGAAUGUCUUAUCUGAAAGAUGCUUUAUGUUUACCAGUUCUAGCCGGUAAAGAGCCCCG
This 678-nucleotide long non-coding RNA is filed under the name Cricetulus griseus (Chinese hamster). RNAcentral describes it as "lncRNA (ENSCGRG00015036551.1)". The record is from RNAcentral. Lineage: Eukaryota; Metazoa; Chordata; Mammalia; Rodentia; Cricetidae.